Molecule: ribosomal RNA, 392 nt
Filed under: uncultured bacterium
Lineage: Bacteria
Description: bacterial SSU rRNA
Rfam family: Bacterial small subunit ribosomal RNA
Source: RNAcentral
AGCGAACGUUUGCGGCGGGCUUAACACAUGCAAGUCGAACGGGCUGUUCCUUCGGGGGCAGUCAGUGGCGCACGGGUGCGUAACACGUAGGUAAUCAACCCUCUGGUUGGGGAUAACACUUCGAAAGGAGUGCUAAUACCCGGUAUGGCGCAGCGGUCUUCGGAUCGCGGCGAGAAAGACCCGCAAGGGUUGCCAGAGGACGAGCCUGCGGCCCAUCAGCUAGUUGGCGAGGUAACGGCUCACCAAGGCGAAGACGGGUAGCUGGUCUGAGAGGAUGAUCAGCCACACUGGAACUGAGACACGGUCCAGACUCCUGCGGGAGGCAGCAGUGGGGGAAUAUUGCGCAAUGGGCGAAAGCCUGACGCAGCCACGCCGCGUGAGCGAUGAGGGCC